AUGAUAUCCAACUUCUGGCUGAUAUCCAAGUGUAUUACCAGAAUUACAUGUUCAGAUGGGCCUUCCUCCGUGCUCAUGAUGAAGGAUCAAAAUAUGUGGCUUCCUUGUCUCAAAGGCAAACCCUGGAGAUACCAAUAUAGGGAUCUUAUAGUUCCCUGUAUAGUGGAGGCCUGAUGUGGAGUUGAAGCUGGUAUGAAGAAAGUAGGUCUGCUGAGGAAGUCUGGAGAUUUGGUCUCAAGCUAGGCCUAGCUUCCCUGAAACAUUCAUGCAGCUGUGUUAUUUCUCUGUUGUUGUUAUAAACAGGUUUUUAAUGUCCCUGGUAAUCACUGAACUUCUUGAAUUUUGGCCAACAUACCAAACUCAAAGCCCUCCAAAUGGCUGCUUCUGCCAAGCUUUACACAUUAUGGCAUUUUAGGUAAUGCUACGUUUCAGCAGCUUAGGGUGAGUUAUUGGGUGAGUUCAGUGUCCAAGAGGAAAAAACAAAACACACAAUUCCAUUCAAGUCCAUGAAAAAUUUUAUUCUUGGAAGGUGUUGGAUACUGGCAACAUAAAAUAUAUGAAACUACAGUAAAAAUCUAUUUAAAAUGAAUACCAUAACCUGAUUUUCUUGUUCUUUUGCUUAUAAAUAAUGCAAUGGAUUUAGUAGGUAUAUUUAUUUAGAUAGCAAAGUACAGACAAGUAUGACA
RNAcentral lists this long non-coding RNA (686 nucleotides) under Anser brachyrhynchus (Pink-footed goose). RNAcentral's name for it is "lncRNA (ENSABRG00000020270.1)". The record is from RNAcentral. Lineage: Eukaryota; Metazoa; Chordata; Aves; Anseriformes; Anatidae.